CUACGUAGCUCAGAGUUUGAUCCUGGCUCAGGACGAACGCUGGCGGCGUGCCUAACACAUGCAAGUCGAACGGGGUAAUUCCUUCGGGGAUUACUUAGUGGCGAACGGGUGAGUAACGCGUGAGGAACCUGCCUUUCAGUGGGGGACAACAGUUGGAAACGACUGCUAAUACCGCAUAACAUUCACGGACCGCAUGAUCUGUGAAUCAAAGCUUUAUGUGCUGAAAGAUGGCCUCGCGUCUGAUUAGCUAGUUGGUGAGGUAACGGCCCACCAAGGCGACGAUCAGUAGCCGGUCUGAGAGGAUGAACGGCCACAUUGGGACUGAGAUACGGCCCAG
RNAcentral lists this ribosomal RNA (337 nucleotides) under uncultured bacterium. RNAcentral's name for it is "bacterial SSU rRNA". It matches the Rfam family "Bacterial small subunit ribosomal RNA", at positions 1 to 334 of the family's 1533-position model. The record is from RNAcentral.